Molecule: ribosomal RNA, 469 nt
Filed under: Ignatzschineria indica
Lineage: Bacteria; Pseudomonadati; Pseudomonadota; Gammaproteobacteria; Cardiobacteriales; Ignatzschineriaceae
Description: bacterial SSU rRNA
Rfam family: Bacterial small subunit ribosomal RNA
Source: RNAcentral
AUCCUGGCUCAGAUUGAACGCUGGCGGUAUGCUUAACACAUGCAAGUCGAACGGCAGCACGAGGAGAGUUUACUCUCUUCGGUGGCGAGUGGCGGACGGGUGAGUAAUGCAUAGGAAUCUACCUUUUAGUCUAGGAUAACUACCCGAAAGGGUGGCUAAUACUGGAUGUGGACUACGGUUUAAAGCAGGGGACCUUCGGGCCUUGCGCUAAGAGAUGAGCCUAUGUGGGAUUAGCUAGUUGGUGAGGUAAUGGCUCACCAAGGCGACGAUCUCUAGCUGGUUUGAGAGGAUGAUCAGCCACACUGGGACUGAGACACGGCCCAGACUCCUACGGGAGGCAGCAGUGGGGAAUAUUGGACAAUGGGGGAAACCCUGAUCCAGCAAUACCGCGUGUGUGAAGAAGGCCCUAGGGUUGUAAAGCACUUUUGUUAGGGAGAACGGGUCUUACUAAAUAAUGACUAGUAGGAUU